RNAcentral lists this ribosomal RNA (484 nucleotides) under uncultured bacterium. Its description in RNAcentral is "partial 16S ribosomal RNA". The stretch from base 52 to 484 matches the Rfam family "Bacterial small subunit ribosomal RNA", at positions 35 to 507 of the family's 1533-position model. The record is from RNAcentral.
GGGGGGGGGGGGGGGGGGGGCGGGGGGGGGCGGGGCGGGCGGGUGGGGGGGGCGGGCGGGGGGAGGCAGCGGCGGGCGGGUGGGUAAUGCCGGGGAAUCUGCCUGGCAGGGGGGGAUAACGUCCGGAAACGGGCGCUAAUACCGCAUACGUCCUGAGGGAGAAAGUGGGGGAUCUGCGGACCUCACGCUAUCAGAUGAGCCUAGGUCGGAUUAGCUAGUUGGUGGGGUAAAGGCCUACCAAGGCGACGAUCCGUAACUGGUCUGAGAGGAUGAUCAGUCACACUGGAACUGAGACACGGUCCAGACUCCUACGGGAGGCAGCAGUGGGGAAUAUUGGACAAUGGGCGAAAGCCUGAUCCAGCCAUGCCGCGUGUGUGAAGAAGGUCUUCGGAUUGUAAAGCACUUUAAGUUGGGAGGAAGGGCAGUAAGUUAAUACCUUGCUGUUUUGACGUUACCAACAGAAUAAGCACCGGCUAACUUCGUG